ACGUAGGACGCAAGCGUUAUCCGGAGUUUCUGGGCGUAAAGCGCGGGCAGGCGGCUUGUCAAGUGGGGUGUGAAAGCUCCCAGCUUAACUGGGAGAGGCCAUUCCAAACUGACAGGCUGGAGGGCAGUAGAGGUAGGCGGAAUUCCGGGUGGAGUGGUGAAAUGCGUAGAGAUCCGGAGGAACACCAGAGGCGAAGGCGGCCUACUGGGCUGCACCUGACGCUGAGCCGCGAAAGCCAGGGGAGCGAACGGGA
This 253-nucleotide ribosomal RNA is filed under the name uncultured prokaryote. Its description in RNAcentral is "partial 16S ribosomal RNA". It matches the Rfam family "Bacterial small subunit ribosomal RNA", at positions 525 to 777 of the family's 1533-position model. The record is from RNAcentral.